RNAcentral lists this long non-coding RNA (257 nucleotides) under Elaeis guineensis (African oil palm). Its description in RNAcentral is "long non-coding RNA (EGUI_LNC009792)". Lineage: Eukaryota; Viridiplantae; Streptophyta; Magnoliopsida; Arecales; Arecaceae. The record is from RNAcentral.
GCCUAGACCUUCAUUUUAGAAUUAUCCUGACCUAUCUUGCUUAGGAUUCUAGGAUUCAUUUCUUAGAUCUUUAGUGGCCCUAGCAAUCUACAUUUUGAUAGAUAUAGCUCUUAUACAUCUUAUAUAUUUUCAUGAUUUUAUCAUUUGUUGUGAUCAAGUUUUGCUAAUUAAUGAAAUAUAACUUUUUCUUAAAAUACAAUAUAUCUAAUGCCCUUACUUAUAUUUAGUUACUUAAUUGAACAAUUGCUUUGUUUGCA